RNAcentral lists this transfer-messenger RNA (394 nucleotides) under marine eukaryotic metagenome. It matches the Rfam family "transfer-messenger RNA". Rfam says of the family: Bacterial tmRNA, also known as 10Sa RNA or SsrA, is named for its dual tRNA and mRNA-like properties. Its role is to liberate the mRNA from a stalled ribosome. The record is from RNAcentral.
GGGGGCGCACUGGCUUCGACGUGAUUACUGAAGCGAUCGUCGCGUGCCGUGGGUACCAGUGACCACGUCUAACGACUGGUAACGUCACAACUGCCGACGAUAACGUGCAGAUGGCGAUGGCGGCGUAAGCUGACCAUUGCUCUAUGAUGUGCCUUUCAAAGGCACCCGUCUCCUUCAUCCUUGCUCACGGGAUGUUGUGAGACGACACCUAGUGAGCUCGGUCUCGGCCACUUCGAGUCUUCGGGUUGAGACGACACAUCAAUGAAGGCCCCUCGCCACCUGUGGCCUGUCAGCGGGCAGCAGGGCGCGAGGUAAAUCUCAAACGCUGACUACGCACGUAGGGACGAUCAGCGGAUGGAUCGCGGACGCGGGUUCGAUUCCCGCCGCCUCCACU